Molecule: ribosomal RNA, 328 nt
Filed under: uncultured Bradyrhizobium sp.
Lineage: Bacteria; Pseudomonadati; Pseudomonadota; Alphaproteobacteria; Hyphomicrobiales; Nitrobacteraceae
Description: bacterial SSU rRNA
Rfam family: Bacterial small subunit ribosomal RNA
Source: RNAcentral
CCUUUUGGUUCGGAACAACACAGGGAAACUUGUGCUAAUACCGGAUAAGCCCUUACGGGGAAAGAUUUAUCGCCGAAAGAUCGGCCCGCGUCUGAUUAGCUAGUUGGUAGGGUAAUGGCCUACCAAGGCGACGAUCAGUAGCUGGUCUGAGAGGAUGAUCAGCCACAUUGGGACUGAGACACGGCCCAAACUCCUACGGGAGGCAGCAGUGGGGAAUAUUGGACAAUGGGCGAAAGCCUGAUCCAGCCAUGCCGCGUGAGUGAUGAAGGCCCUAGGGUUGUAAAGCUCUUUUGUGCGGGAAGAUAAUGACGGUACCGCAAGAAUAAGC